AGAUGGGUGCUAUAGUGUUGCUAGGUGGUUGAUAUUGUAUCCCAGGUGGUCACUGUGGUAUGUUAACAGGUUACUAUUGUGUUCCUAAGAGGCUGCUAGAUGGGUGCUAUAGUGUUGCUAGUUGGUUGAUAUGGUAUCCCAGGUGGUCACUGUGGUAUCUUAACUGGUUACUACUGUGUUGCUAAGAGGUUGCUAGAUGGGUGCUAUAGCGUUGCUAGGUGGUUGCUAUGGUAUCCCAGGUGGUCACUGUGGUAUCUUAACUGGUUACUACUGUGUUGCUGAGAGGUUGCUAGAUGGGUGCUAUAGCAUUGCUAGGUGGUUGCUAUGGUAUCCCAGGUGGUCACUGUGGUAUCUUAACUGGUUACUACUGUGUAGCUGAGAGGUUGCUAGAUGGGUGCUAUUAUGUUGCUAGGUGGUUGAUAUGGUAUCCCAGGUGGACACUGUGGUAUCUUAACUGGUUACUACUGUGUUGCUGAAAGGUUGCUAUAUGGGUGCUAUAGUGUUGUUAGGUGGUU
Long non-coding RNA from Astyanax mexicanus (Mexican tetra), 515 nucleotides. RefSeq lists it as uncharacterized. The record is from RefSeq and is a predicted model, not a curated record. The transcript has 3 exons. Lineage: Eukaryota; Metazoa; Chordata; Actinopteri; Characiformes; Acestrorhamphidae.